Molecule: ribosomal RNA, 253 nt
Filed under: uncultured bacterium
Lineage: Bacteria
Description: partial 16S ribosomal RNA
Rfam family: Bacterial small subunit ribosomal RNA
Source: RNAcentral
UACAGAGGGUGCAAGCGUUAAUCGGAUUUACUGGGCGUAAAGCGUGAGUAGGUGGCUCGCCAAGUCGAUUGUGAAAGCCCUGGGCUCAACCUGGGAAUUGCAGUCGAUACUGGUGAACUAGAGUUCGGUAGAGGGUGACGGAAUUCCUGGUGUAGCGGUGGAAUGCGCAGAUAUCAGGAGGAACACCGGUGGCGAAGGCGGGUCUCUGGGCAGUAACUGACGCUGAGGAGCGAAAGCGUGGGGAGCGAACAGG